Molecule: ribosomal RNA, 1770 nt
Filed under: Candidatus Harrisonbacteria bacterium CG10_big_fil_rev_8_21_14_0_10_49_15
Lineage: Bacteria; Candidatus Harrisoniibacteriota
Description: bacterial SSU rRNA
Rfam family: Bacterial small subunit ribosomal RNA
Source: RNAcentral
GGAGGAUUUGAUCCUGGUCCAGGAUGAACGCUGGCGGCGUGGAUAAGGCAUGCAAGUCGUACGCAUCAUUUUAUUAUGGUGAGUGGCGAACGGGUUAGUAACACCUUGGUACGUACCCCACAGACGGGAAUAGCUUCGGGAAACCGGAGGUAAUGCCCGAUAGUCCCAGCUUCACUUUUGUUCUUGAGAAUGAGACAAUUAAGUUGAUAUGUAUAUUGUGUAUAUUAUUCAGCAUUCAGCUGAUAAAGAAAUUUACAUAGGAUUUACAACAAACUUAGAAAAACGUCUCAUUGCUCAUAAUGGCAAACUUAACAGAUCAACAAGGCGAAAGAGCGGAAACUGGAAACUGGUUUACGCUGAGGCUUAUCGAUCUGAAAAAGAUGCAAGAAUGCGCGAGAAAAAACUAAAGCAUCAUGGCAGUAGUAAACAUGAGCUUAAGAAAAGAAUUGCUAAUAGUUUAAUCGAGAACAAAAGUGAGGCUGGGUAAAUGGAGCAAUCCGCUGUGGGAUCGGCCUAGGCCCGAUCAGCUUGUUGGUGAGGUAAUGGCUCACCAAGGCUAUGACCGGUAGGGGGGCUGAGAGGCUGACCCNNNNNNNNNNNNNNNNNNNNGGAAUAAGGAGCUGCAAACUUCGUGCCAGCAGCAGCGGUAAUACGAAGGCUCCAAGCGUUAUCCGGAUUUAUUGGGCGUAAAGCGUGCGCAGGUGGUUUGAUGCGUCUUGUGUUAAAUCCUAUUGCCUAACAAUAGGGCUGCAUGGGAUACGGUCAAACUAGAGGAUGUGAGAGGCUACUGGAACUCACGGUGUAGGGGUGAAAUCCGUUGAUAUCGUGGGGAACACCAAAGGCGAAGGCAGGUAGCUGGCACAUUUCCUGACACUCAUUGCACGAAAGCUAGGGUCGCGAAUGGGAUUAGAUACCCCAGUAGUCCUAGCCGUAAACGAUGCCAACUAGGUGUUUCGAGUAUCGACCCUCGGAGUGCCGUAGCUAACGCGUUAAGUUGGCCGCCUGGGAAGUACGGCCGCAAGGCUAAAACUCAAAGGAAUAGACGGGGACUCGCACAAGCGGUGGAGCAUGAGGCUUAAUUCGAUACUAACCGGAAAACCUCACCUAGGCUUGAAAUCCAUGGGAAUACCUCUGGAAACAGAGGUAGCCUUCGGGCUCAUGGACAGGUGUUGCAUGGUUGUCGUCAGCUCGUGCCUUGAGGUGUUCCCUUAAGUGGGGUAACGAGCGCAACCCGCACUGUGUGUUAUACAUGUCACACGGAACUGCCCUGCCUUUAGCUCGCAAAGCGAGCAAAUACCAAAUCGCAAGCAACAAAUACCAAAUAAAUCUCAAAUUCGAAAAUUAGAAUUUCGAAACUUGGAAAUUAUUUGGGAUUUGGAUCUUGGAUAUUGGGAUUUGCCGACUUUGUUGGUUAGAGGCAGGGAGGAAGGAGCGGAUGACGUCAAAUCAGCAUGGCCCUCUGACGCCUAGGGCUGCACUCAUGCUACAAUGGCGAUGACAAUGGGUUUGCCAAGUCGCAAGACGGAGCUAAUCCCCAAACAUCGCCUCAGUUCGGAUUGUGGGCUGCAAUUCGCCCACAUGAAGUAGGAAUCGCUAGUAAUCGCGGAUCAGCAUGCCGCGGUGAAUACGUUCUCGAGUCCUGUACUCACCGCCCGUCACGUCAAGGGAGCCGGGAAUACCCGAAAUGCGUUUUCGAACGUAUCAAGGUAGGUUCGGUGACAUGGACGAAGUCGUAACAAGGCACGCGUAGCGGAAGCUGUGCGUGGAUCA